GGCAGCAAAAAGCAACACUGGCCGCCAUUUUUUUGAAACGUCUACAUGUCAGUAUAUUUACUAGUGAUGGACGUAACUGCGAUUUUCCGAUAUCAGUGAUUUCUGUGAAAGCUACUUUUCAGUAUCUGUUAUUCUUAACUGUGAUUAGUCGCAGUUAAGAGUCGCAGUUAAGGAACGUAGGUCGUGUAUCCCUCCGCCACUGCUAUUUCUGGUACUUCCGCAAUUUCUGUGACUUCUGCUACUUCUGCGACUUCUGUGACUCCUGCUACUUCUGCGACUUACCACCGUAUGCCCACACAGAAAAUUGCAUCUCAACAAACCUGUCAUUGGUACCCGAACUACAUUCCAGUCACUCAGUAAAUUGAUAACUCAAAAUAUCAUUGUCACCAGAUCUGGAGAAAUUGCCACUGCGUCUUUAGACCGUUUUCGUCAGACGAGAGACACAGUUCUGUCUCUUGAUUACUGACUGCUGUACGUAUUUAUCCACAUCAAAGCUGUUGAGAGAGACUCGUGAAGAUUCAAGACAGCUCUUAAAGGAUUUGCAGUUUAAAAUUGACAUAAUUGUGAAAUAAGUGUGCAGAUGAGUGAUUAAACUGUGUUUUAUUGAAGUUGUUAUGCAAUUUUAAAGGAAUAAUAAAUGUUAAAUACAGUGAGUGAAU
Molecule: long non-coding RNA, 659 nt
Organism: Schistocerca gregaria
Lineage: Eukaryota; Metazoa; Arthropoda; Insecta; Orthoptera; Acrididae
Exons: 3
Source: RefSeq, a predicted model, not a curated record